CGUCGGAUUGCACAAACCGUGGUAUUACCAACCGAAUGAGUUGUUAGUUUCGGAUGAAUUAGACGAAGAAUGUCCUCUGUUGCGGUACAUUUUUGAAGAGGAACAAUCGAGGUAUCAAACGGACGACGAGCGUCAUGAGCUAUGGUCGG
RNAcentral lists this small RNA (149 nucleotides) under Licmophora paradoxa. RNAcentral describes it as "partial transfer-messenger RNA". Lineage: Eukaryota; Bacillariophyta; Fragilariophyceae; Licmophorales; Licmophoraceae. The record is from RNAcentral.